RNAcentral lists this long non-coding RNA (2182 nucleotides) under Homo sapiens (human). Its description in RNAcentral is "non-protein coding lnc-TOM1L1-5:1". Lineage: Eukaryota; Metazoa; Chordata; Mammalia; Primates; Hominidae. The record is from RNAcentral.
UGUUGGGAUUAAAAAAAAAAUAUGUUCAACCUGUGAGACUUUGACAGCAAAAGCAAAGCGCUAAUGGCAAUUGUGCAAGAGUCACUAAUUCCAGACAUGUCAAUAAUUCUGACAUGUCAAUGAUUUCCAAUUUGUGGCUUCAGAUCAAAAUGUCGUGCAAUAGAAUUAUAUUAAUUUUUUAUUAUAUUUUUUCACUUGAGUACAGAAUAAGAAAACAUAUUUUACACCAUACUCACGUAUAUAACUGAAACAAAAGCCUGUCAAAGCAUUAGUUACCUUUUCUAUGUACAUUGCAUUCUUAUUUAAUAUUCACUUGUAUUUCAUUAAAACUUUGGUUUCACGAUUCGCUAAUGGGUGAUGUAACAGUCUGAAGAAACAUUAUAAAAAUCACAAUUUUAGUCAUGUGGCUCACCAAAAGCAAAUAAAAAAUAACUGAUUGUUUUGCAGUGUAAUUCCCUACUUUUUUGAGUUCAAAAGCAGUUUAGUCCCCCAUCUGAAGUAUGCCAAUCAGUCUGUAGUUACAGAUGCUGACUGUCUGUGAGGGUGGGGAAUUCCACUAUGGUUACCCUGUCAACCGUCUCAGUUUCACAAACAACAGGCCUGGGUCAUUCUGUUAGGCAUGUAUGUCUUUUAUUCAUGUUUUCUUUUUUUGGCUGAUAAUGAUGGCUUGUCUUUCUUAAUUUAUUUUUUUAAAUAUUAUUACUGAAAUCUAAUAUAUACAGAAUAAAGUACAAAAAGUGUACAAUUUGAUGAAUUUUUAUUAUGUGUCUCACAUGGAAUCACCACUCAAAAGGCUCCCUCAGGCCACCUUCCCAGUCAGCCGCCACUCCCACCUUUACAUUGGAACCAGUAUUUUGACUUAUAACAACAUAGAUUAUUUUUGCCCCUUAUUGAAUUUCAUAAUAAAUAGAAUUAUAGAAUAUGUACUCUUUUGUAACUUGCUGCUUUUCCUCAUUAUUUUGUCUGACUCAUAAGAUCUCUUGAGAUGCUAUCUUUUAAGUAGGAAUUGCUGAGUCAGUAUAAAGUCAGUCCUACUUUUGUUUGUUUGACAACUUUUGGGUUUGGAAGAAUAUGACAUUUAGAACCAAAAAUAUAAUUAUCUUACUGUGAGUCUAAUCAUCAUUGCUACAUUAGAAAAUUCACACAGUGCUACACCUGCUGCUGGCACAAGGUUAUAUGCAGAAAGGGCAAGGCUGGAGCCCACAUUUAGCACUACUCUAAACCUAGCAAUAGCAGAAUAUAGUCCAUCAUAGUAUGAUUUUACCAGACUAAUCAAGUACUGUAUCAUUAAUGGAUUAUCUUAAAAUUAUAGAGAGAACACUAAAUUCCCUAAAAUAGAUUUUUCACAGUUUGGGCUCUUGUUAAGUCAAUUUAGUGGGCUGCGACUACCAUUUUAAACAAGUGAAAUAGAACAAAAUGGAAAAUACCAAAGGGAACUGUAUAUGAUAAAACUGAGUAAUGUUUCACUUAUACAGGAUCAUAGUAUGUAUCAUAUUUCUCACCACGUAUAGCAGUAAAUACUUUAUAGCCACUUCCCUAACGAAAACACGAAAUAUAUAUUGAACAACUGCAGUGUGCAUGUUUUGUUAUGUGCACAUGUUAUUAAGAUAGGUAAAACUUGGCCUACAUAUUUUAAGGAAAAGUCAUGUGCCCAAAUAAUUAUAGUAAGAAAAGCUACAUAGUGUGGCAAGGCCAUAAGAGUAAUAAAGCUUAGAACAUUCAGAAAAGAUUCAUAACAGUUGGCAUUUGAGUAAAUUUUGAGGGAUAAAUAGGAUUUUAUGUGCUCAAGAGGUGAGUAGGGAGUGAUAAAAGUAUUAGCAUAAACAAAAAAAUUAGAACGUAAUGCACACAGAGAGUAGUCUACUUAAAAAAAAAAAGAUAAUUGGGUUCAUUCAGAUGACAGAGUUAUGCCUCAAAGGGUAAAUGUUAAGUUUAGAAGUCUGUACUUUACUCAGUAGUCAGUGAGGAGCCAUUAAGGAAAACAGUUAAAUGACAAAAGUGAUAUUUUAGAAAGAGGAAUCAUAUGUGUUGGUUAUCUAGGAAGGGAGUGAAAGUGGUGGUAGGUAGUCUAGAUAGAGGACUAUAGAAAUAAUCCAGAUAAAGAUAGUAAAGAACUAAAGUAUAGUGAAGGUGGGGAAAAUAGAAAGGAAAGAAGUUAUAGAUCUAGAUUACUUACCAAAAA